CGAAAGGCAGCAACACAGCGCAGACACAAGAGGGGCAAAACACACCCAGGCAGCCCAAGCAGAAAGCGGAAAAUAAAGCCUAACCCGGCUGAGAUUGCUACACCACCACCACGAACCGGCAGCAGCCAGCGUCUACUCCGACCCACACAAAUCUCAACCGGGAAGCUUCACAGCUCUCCAGGCGAACCUGCACCCAGCACUGAAGCCUCCCUGCUGCACCGAGACGCCGCAAGGACCCCUCAAGGCAUCGGCUGACGACCUCGACGGCAGGACAGACAUGCAGACAUUGGGACAGUAACCCCCUUAAGGGAGAUGUACCACACGCAAAAUGGCUGACCCAUCACACACGCUCCUGUUACCCUGCAGCUGUAGCGAGCCUCACCCACUCAUACCCAAC
Molecule: non-coding RNA, 397 nt
Organism: Pelobates cultripes (western spadefoot toad)
Lineage: Eukaryota; Metazoa; Chordata; Amphibia; Anura; Pelobatidae
Source: the annotation of a GenBank genome assembly